GGGUUGUGAGGUUAAGCGACUAAGCGUACACGGUGGAUGCCCUGGCAGUCAGAGGCGAUGAAGGACGUGCUAAUCUGCGAUAAGCGUCGGUGAGGUGAUAUGAACCGUUAUAACCGGCGAUUUCCGAAUGGGGAAACCCAGUGUGUUUCGACACACUAUCAUUAACUGAAUCCAUAGGUUAAUGAGGCGAACCGGGGGAACUGAAACAUCUAAGUACCCCGAGGAAAAGAAAUCAACCGAGAUUCCCCCAGUAGCGGCGAGCGAACGGGGAGGAGCCCAGAGCCUGAAUCAGUGUGUGUGUUAGUGGAAGCGUCUGGAAAGGCGCGCGAUACAGGGUGACAGCCCCGUACACAAAAAUGCACAUACUGUGAGCUCGAUGAGUAGGGCGGGACACGUGGUAUCCUGUCUGAAUAUGGGGGGACCAUCCUCCAAGGCUAAAUACUCCUGACUGACCGAUAGUGAACCAGUACCGUGAGGGAAAGGCGAAAAGAACCCCGGCGAGGGGAGUGAAAAAGAACCUGAAACCGUGUACGUACAAGCAGUGGGAGCCUCUUAAUGGGGUGACUGCGUACCUUUUGUAUAAUGGGUCAGCGACUUAUAUUCUGUAGCAAGGUUAACCGAAUAGGGGAGCCGAAGGGAAACCGAGUCUUAACUGGGCGUUAAGUUGCAGGGUAUAGACCCGAAACCCGGUGAUCUAGCCAUGGGCAGGUUGAAGGUUGGGUAACACUAACUGGAGGACCGAACCGACUAAUGUUGAAAAAUUAGCGGAUGACUUGUGGCUGGGGGUGAAAGGCCAAUCAAACCGGGAGAUAGCUGGUUCUCCCCGAAAGCUAUUUAGGUAGCGCCUCGUGAAUUCAUCUCCGGGGGUAGAGCACUGUUUCGGCAAGGGGGUCAUCCCGACUUACCAACCCGAUGCAAACUGCGAAUACCGGAGAAUGUUAUCACGGGAGACACACGGCGGGUGCUAACGUCCGUCGUGAAGAGGGAAACAACCCAGACCGCCAGCUAAGGUCCCAAAGUCAUGGUUAAGUGGGAAACGAUGUGGGAAGGCCCAGACAGCCAGGAUGUUGGCUUAGAAGCAGCCAUCAUUUAAAGAAAGCGUAAUAGCUCACUGGUCGAGUCGGCCUGCGCGGAAGAUGUAACGGGGCUAAACCAUGCACCGAAGCUGCGGCAGCGACGCUUAUGCGUUGUUGGGUAGGGGAGCGUUCUGUAAGCCUGUGAAGGUGUGCUGUGAGGCAUGCUGGAGGUAUCAGAAGUGCGAAUGCUGACAUAAGUAACGAUAAAGCGGGUGAAAAGCCCGCUCGCCGGAAGACCAAGGGUUCCUGUCCAACGUUAAUCGGGGCAGGGUGAGUCGACCCCUAAGGCGAGGCCGAAAGGCGUAGUCGAUGGGAAACAGGUUAAUAUUCCUGUACUUGGUGUUACUGCGAAGGGGGGACGGAGAAGGCUAUGUUGGCCGGGCGACGGUUGUCCCGGUUUAAGCGUGUAGGCUGGUUUUCCAGGCAAAUCCGGAAAACCAAGGCUGAGGCGUGAUGACGAGGCACUACGGUGCUGAAGCGACAAAUGCCCUGCUUCCAGGAAAAGCCUCUAAGCAUCAGGUAACAUCAAAUCGUACCCCAAACCGACACAGGUGGUCAGGUAGAGAAUACCAAGGCGCUUGAGAGAACUCGGGUGAAGGAACUAGGCAAAAUGGUGCCGUAACUUCGGGAGAAGGCACGCUGAUAUGUAGGUGAAGCGACUUGCUCGUGGAGCUGAAAUCAGUCGAAGAUACCAGCUGGCUGCAACUGUUUAUUAAAAACACAGCACUGUGCAAACACGAAAGUGGACGUAUACGGUGUGACGCCUGCCCGGUGCCGGAAGGUUAAUUGAUGGGGUUAGCGGCAACGCGAAGCUCUUGAUCGAAGCCCCGGUAAACGGCGGCCGUAACUAUAACGGUCCUAAGGUAGCGAAAUUCCUUGUCGGGUAAGUUCCGACCUGCACGAAUGGCGUAAUGAUGGCCAGGCUGUCUCCACCCGAGACUCAGUGAAAUUGAACUCGCUGUGAAGAUGCAGUGUACCCGCGGCAAGACGGAAAGACCCCGUGAACCUUUACUAUAGCUUGACACUGAACAUUGAGCCUUGAUGUGUAGGAUAGGUGGGAGGCUUUGAAGUGUGGACGCCAGUCUGCAUGGAGCCGACCUUGAAAUACCACCCUUUAAUGUUUGAUGUUCUAACGUUGGCCCCUAAUCGGGGUUGCGGACAGUGUCUGGUGGGUAGUUUGACUGGGGCGGUCUCCUCCUAAAGAGUAACGGAGGAGCACGAAGGUUGGCUAAUCCUGGUCGGACAUCAGGAGGUUAGUGCAAUGGCAUAAGCCAGCUUGACUGCGAGCGUGACGGCGCGAGCAGGUGCGAAAGCAGGUCAUAGUGAUCCGGUGGUUCUGAAUGGAAGGGCCAUCGCUCAACGGAUAAAAGGUACUCCGGGGAUAACAGGCUGAUACCGCCCAAGAGUUCAUAUCGACGGCGGUGUUUGGCACCUCGAUGUCGGCUCAUCACAUCCUGGGGCUGAAGUAGGUCCCAAGGGUAUGGCUGUUCGCCAUUUAAAGUGGUACGCGAGCUGGGUUUAGAACGUCGUGAGACAGUUCGGUCCCUAUCUGCCGUG
Molecule: ribosomal RNA, 2633 nt
Filed under: Escherichia coli
Lineage: Bacteria; Pseudomonadati; Pseudomonadota; Gammaproteobacteria; Enterobacterales; Enterobacteriaceae
Description: partial 23S ribosomal RNA
Rfam family: Bacterial large subunit ribosomal RNA
Source: RNAcentral